GGAUGACGGAGGGACCCCGGGGGGGCUGGGCAGGGCCUGGCUGCCUCCAUCAUCCUGCUCACCCUGGGUCUGGGGGUGGUCUGUCCCCCCCAGCCCCCCACCUAUGGCUGCCAUCCCCCCGUGCUGUGCCACCACCGUGCCCGAGUGCCACCAGGCUGCUCCAUGGCCACCGUGGGCUCCCUGUGCUGGCCCCACGGGAGCAUCUCAAGGGCCAGACCCCCCCCAUCCCACCACAAAGGCCCCCGAGCACCCCUUGAUGUGGGGCUGGGGGUGAGCCCCACCUGGGGAAACUGAGGCAGGGGAGGAGGCUGAGGGCAGGGGCAGCCUGGAGCCACGGCUCAGCCCCCCCAGCACUCUGCCUGUCCUUCCUGCCCCCUGCCCUGGUGGGGGGGCCCCGCCAGCAGCCCCCCCCAGGCCGGCAUUAACCCGUUGGUCCCCGUCUGCUGCUGUCAAGUCCCCCAGAGGACCUCCCCCACCGGCCCCAAGAGCACGUCGAACCCAGCCCGUCUCAGCAACGUCCCCAGCAGCAUCCUCCGGAAAAACUCCCCCGCCGCCCGGAACGGGGGCACCGAGGCCGACGCGCAGAUCCUGGAGCUCAACCAGCAGGUAAGGGGGGGGAGAUGGAGACACCCUGCAGGGGGGGGAUCUCUGAGACCCCCAGGAGCAUCCCCCUCCCGGCCCGGGGCUGAUGGCUCUGUGUGUGUGUGUGUGUCCCUCCUCUCCUGCAGCUGAUGGACCUGAAGCUGACGGUGGACGGGCUGGAGAAGGAGCGGGAUUUCUACUUCAGCAAACUGCGGGACAUCGAGCUCAUCUGCCAGGAGCACGAGAAUGAGAACAGCCCCAUCAUCACCGGCAUCAUCAGCGUCCUCUACGCCACGGAGGAGGGCUUUGCCCCGCCGGAGGACGACGAGCUGGAGGAGCAGCAGCCAGAGGAGCAGGACGAGUACUAGCCCCGGCACGUUCCCUCGCCCCGCGCCGUCCCCCCACCAUAGACAUUGGGGGCCCGAGCCCUGCACCGACCGUCACGCGCCAUCGCCGGCUCCGGCGGCUCCGCUGGGGACCCCCCGUCUCCAUAAUAAACGGCUGCCCCUCCAGCGCCGAGCACGGCUCUACCU
This 1115-nucleotide long non-coding RNA is filed under the name Calidris pugnax (ruff). RNAcentral's name for it is "lncRNA (ENSCPUG00000008603.1)". The record is from RNAcentral. Lineage: Eukaryota; Metazoa; Chordata; Aves; Charadriiformes; Scolopacidae.